This 323-nucleotide ribosomal RNA is filed under the name uncultured Actinomycetes bacterium. RNAcentral's name for it is "bacterial SSU rRNA". It matches the Rfam family "Bacterial small subunit ribosomal RNA", at positions 28 to 351 of the family's 1533-position model. The record is from RNAcentral. Lineage: Bacteria; Bacillati; Actinomycetota; Actinomycetes.
GACGAACGCUGGCGGCGUGCUUAACACAUGCAAGUCGAACGAUGAACUCCAGCUUGCUGGGGGAGUUAGUGGCGAACGGGUGAGUAACACGUGAGUAACCUGCCCUUGACUCUGGGAUAAGCGCUGGAAACGGCGUCUAAUACCGGAUACGAGCUUCAGCCGCAUGGCUAGGAGUUGGAAAGAAUUUUGGUCAAGGAUGGACUCGCGGCCUAUCAGCUAGUUGGUGAGGUAAUGGCUCACCAAGGCGACGACGGGUAGCCGGCCUGAGAGGGUGACCGGCCACACUGGGACUGAGACACGGCCCAGACUCCUACGGGAGGCUG